This 1931-nucleotide long non-coding RNA is filed under the name Canis lupus familiaris (dog). RNAcentral describes it as "lncRNA (ENSCAFG00845018582.1)". The record is from RNAcentral. Lineage: Eukaryota; Metazoa; Chordata; Mammalia; Carnivora; Canidae.
AUGUGGGGUCCCAUCUUUCUUUUGGUUAUAAAUCCUAUUAUUCUGGAUGUCAAAUUAGUAUUGAAAAUAUGCCAUCAAAAUGGUUCCACUCUUAACUACGCCAUUCUGAGCGUAUCUUGUGAAAAGGCGUUUGGAUCUCAGGGGGGCCUGAGUGCCCUCAUUUGUUCAGUGUUGUGUGCUUUGGCAGAGAGGACAGCAGUGCGCUUGCGUGUGGCGUGUAGUCGCUGUUGCCCUAACCAGGUUGCCUGUGACAUCCUGCUACCAAGUCCAAAGGAACAACCCGGGUGUACAGGGGUAAGUGUAGCCAGUGUAGUAUUGACGCAGCCUUACGGAGUAAAAUAGAUCACGUUGUAGUUCUUUUUCACUUGGCCAUCUGCGAACGUAGGGGGUAGAGGACGGGACAGUAGGAAGGAGAGCAUGAGGACGAAUAAGUGAGUCUAGGAACCAGCCGGGAUCAGGAAAGUGCUGAGCAGCAGAACAAAAUCGUGUGUCUCUGCCCUAAGCUCACCUUGAUGGCUCUUUAAUUUUACAUGUUUAAUUCUCAAUUCUUCUAUUUUGUGCUAGAAUCAUGUCGGCAAGGCCAUCCCAACCUCUCUACUGAGCAGGCCCUACAGUCUCCGUGGCCUCGGGAAACAAGCUCCUACCCCACUCACUCGGGAGCGAACACCGGUGACCGGGGCUGCGCUGCGGACUUUUCUCCACGUUGACUUCGAGGAUUCAGCCCUUUUUCUGUCUCCUGUCCUGCUGCUGUUGAAGGCAGGGGUUGGCCAACUAUGGACUGUGGACUCGUCACUUAUUUCAUAAAGUUUCAUCGGACACAGCGUCGAAUGUUCGCGUGUUGCUCCUGCCUCUCUGCCCGGAGGACGGAGCCGAGUGGCUCUCCCAGCUCCUGACGUCGCAGCAGGACAACCCGCCACGGCUCUGCUGCAGAGAAGUUGGCCAGCUUUGCUCCUGGGCCGGUUUGUCCGCUGCCUCGAGCCUUCGGGAAUAAAAGAGCACAGAGAACUUAGGAACAAAGCCUUGGGUCGGAGAAGACGUUCAUGUCUUCUACUCCCCUUCACGGGUAGACACCGGCCACAUGGUCACUGUGCAUGUAGACCGUCUGGGAAACGCAGUCUCGGGCCAAGACGCCUGUUCCCAGCCACGACUCGACAUUAUGAGGGGUGGAGCACACGUGUUGGAGAACAGUCAUCGGUCUCUGCUACCAAACACCUAAUCAGAGCCUCGAAAGGAACCAUGGAAGUCAUGCUUAAUUAAUUAACUCCUAUUCAUCCAGGGUAUCCUAUGUUUCACCAAAUUUUGAGUUCUUAAAAAAGAGAAAUGAAUAAGACUCAAUCAAAUAAGUGAAACCACCAUAUACGGAUCUCUUUCAUUCUUGUUAUAUUCUUGUUACAGUCACCUGAAUAAUCACGGGGGCGGGGGGGAGGUGGUAACGACAGGAGGGGAGUGUGGGUUCUGUGUGGUUCUGGGUCAGUGCUUCCCUAGAUGUCAGCUGCUGGCUGUUCCUGGAUGAGGAGAUUGGAAAAUGAACGUGUUCACACUGCAAGAUUUGGGCAGAUACUCAGAAUUGGGGCUCACAGGGCACUGGGCCUGUAGAGCUGGGCUAACAGACCGGGCCAAAAGCUAACCUGAGGGCUGUGCUGGUGACCGGUGAAGACGGAAGAUGCCAACAAUAAUGUUGGCCUUAGCGGGUGAGCUGGCUAUGCUCCUUUUCUUUGAUUAAAUUCAAUGAAGUGUCUACUUUUUGCUUGGAGUGAGGACACUAAGUAAGAUAUCAUCUUUCCCUUUAAGGAACACAUGAUUUAAUAGAGGAGAUAAAACACAAAAAUAAGUAGUUUCAAUAAAAUAUGGUAAUUCUCUUGAGGAUGCCAUGCCCUGGUGCCUAAUUCCACUUACGGGAGUAGUUUGGGGUGUUAAGAAUGACUUCCUAG